This 478-nucleotide ribosomal RNA is filed under the name uncultured bacterium. RNAcentral describes it as "partial 16S ribosomal RNA". It matches the Rfam family "Bacterial small subunit ribosomal RNA", at positions 28 to 523 of the family's 1533-position model. The record is from RNAcentral.
GACGAACGCUGGCGGCGUGCUUAACACAUGCAAGUCGAACGGUAAGGCCCUUCGGGGUACACGAGUGGCGAACGGGUGAGUAACACGUGGGUGAUCUGCCCUGCACUUCGGGAUAAGCCUGGGAAACUGGGUCUAAUAACGGAUAGGACCACUGACUGCAUGGGCGGUGGGGGAAAGCUUUUGUGGUGGGGGAUGGGCCCGCGGCCUAUCAGCUUGUUGGUGGGGUGAUGGCCUACCAAGGCGACGACGGGUAGCCGGCCUGAGAGGGUGACCGGCCACACUGGGACUGAGAUACGGCCCAGACUCCUACGGGAGGCAGCAGUGGGGAAUAUUGCACAAUGGGCGCAAGCCUGAUGCAGCGACGCCGCGUGAGGGAUGACGGCCUUCGGGUUGUAAACCUCUUUCAGCACCGACGAAGCGCAAGUGACGGUAGGUGCAGAAGAAGGACCGGCCAACUACGUGCCAGCCGCCGCCGUAA